RNAcentral lists this ribosomal RNA (668 nucleotides) under Sphingobacterium alimentarium. RNAcentral's name for it is "partial 23S ribosomal RNA". It matches the Rfam family "Bacterial large subunit ribosomal RNA", at positions 1 to 687 of the family's 2925-position model. The record is from RNAcentral. Lineage: Bacteria; Pseudomonadati; Bacteroidota; Sphingobacteriia; Sphingobacteriales; Sphingobacteriaceae.
UGAAGAAAGUAAAUAAGGGUACACGGGGGAUGCCUAGGCUCUCAGAGGCGAUGAAGGACGUGAUAAGCUGCGAUAAGCUACGGGUAUUGGCAAAUGCGAUUUGAUCCGUAGAUUUCCGAAUGGGGCAACCUAACUAUCUGAAGGAUAGUUGUAUAAUACGCGAACGCGCCGAACUGAAACAUCUAAGUAAGCGUAGGAGGAGAAAAUAAUAAUGAUUUCGUAAGUAGUGGCGAGCGAACACGAAAGAGCCCAAACCAUUGUUGUUACGGCAAUAAUGGGGUUGUAGGACCACGAUAUGUGAUUUGUAACGUAAACUGGAAGCAGGUGGGAAACUGCGCGAUAAGGGUGAAAGCCCCGUACAGGUAAGCAAUACAGCGCUAGUGGUAUCCUGAGUAGGGCGGGACCGGAGGAAUCCUGCUUGAAUCUGCCAGCACCAUCUGGUAAGGCUAAAUACUCCUGAGAGACCGAUAGUGAACCAGUACCGUGAGGGAAAGGUGAAAAGAACCCCGAACAGGGGAGUGAAAAGAACCUGAAACCGUGUACUUACAAGCGGUUGGAGCGGACUUGUUCCGUGACAGCGUGCCUUUUGCAUAAUGAGCCUACGAGUUACUCUUUACUGGCAAGGUUAAGUGGUUAAGCCACGCAGCCGCAGCGAAAGCGAGUCUGAA